This 363-nucleotide unclassified non-coding RNA is filed under the name uncultured bacterium. RNAcentral's name for it is "contains 16S-23S intergenic spacer region". The record is from RNAcentral.
UCCCCGUUACCGAGGCAGUCUGAAUAGACAUAUACAACUAUUCACGAGGGUUGCGCUCGUUGAAGGACUUAACCUGACAUCUCACGACACGAGCUGACGACGGCCAUGCAUCACCUGUCACCAGGUUCCUUGCGGCACAGCCCUAUUUCUAGGGCUUUCCUGGGAUGUCAAACCUUGGUAAGGUUCUUCGCGUAGCCUCGAAUUAAACCACACGCUCCACCGCUUGUGCGGGUCCCCGUCAAUUCCUUUGAGUUUUAGCCUUGCGGCCGUACUCCCCAGGCGGGAUACUUAACGCGUUAGCUUCGCUACCGAGAGGGUCGAUACUCCCGACAGCCAGUAUCCAUCGUUUACGGCGUGGACUAC